AUGGUGAAGCCACACAUCCAUAUCUUUCCAGACUAUUCCUCAUCCAUUCGCCAGGUUGAUGUUUUCAUGGCCGAUGUUAAGACACGCAAAUGGGUGCCCAUGGCUAAUGGGCUCGGUGGCGGCCGAGCACUAUUCAUCAGCCAACACUUCUCCAAGUUUGUUUCUGCACCUUGUGGAGAUAUCAAGGAGGAUGCCAUCUAUUUUCUCGAGUCGGGCGAGGUGUUAAAUAUGAAAACUCAGAAUGCUAAACCGACGAGGUUUUACGAGCCUGGCUGCCUGGGAUGGAAUGUCAUGUGGCUCUUCCCCCCGGAGUUGGUGCUUUAA
This 324-nucleotide ribosomal RNA is filed under the name Triticum aestivum (bread wheat). RNAcentral describes it as "partial small subunit ribosomal RNA". The record is from RNAcentral. Lineage: Eukaryota; Viridiplantae; Streptophyta; Magnoliopsida; Poales; Poaceae.